Molecule: long non-coding RNA, 234 nt
Organism: Arabidopsis thaliana (thale cress)
Lineage: Eukaryota; Viridiplantae; Streptophyta; Magnoliopsida; Brassicales; Brassicaceae
Product: other RNA
Exons: 1
Source: RefSeq
CAUGUGUCUGCGGUGGAUCCAUUUUCUUUUUACACCCAGAACUAUUCAGAUCAGAAGGUUUUCAGAGAGUUUUGGGCAAAACACACACAAAUCCCCAAUAUGACAAUAAUUGAAACUUGUCUCUGGAAACACCUCUCACUACACAUGCAUGCCUUCACUUCUCUUAUCAUAUAUUCAUAUGUACAUAUAAUGGAUGAUUACAUUUUACACGUCAUCAUCAUCACAAUCAUCAGU